UACGGGGGGAGCUAGCGUUGUUCGGAAUUACUGGGCGUAAAGCGCACGUAGGCGGCCAUUCAAGUCAGAGGUGAAAGCCCGGGGCUCAACCCCGGAACUGCCUUUGAAACUAGAUGGCUUGAAUCUUGGAGAGGCGAGUGGAAUUCCGAGUGUAGAGGUGAAAUUCGUAGAUAUUCGGAAGAACACCAGUGGCGAAGGCGACUCGCUGGACAAGUAUUGACGCUGAGGUGCGAAAGCGUGGGGAGCAAACAGG
Molecule: ribosomal RNA, 253 nt
Filed under: uncultured bacterium
Lineage: Bacteria
Description: partial 16S ribosomal RNA
Rfam family: Bacterial small subunit ribosomal RNA
Source: RNAcentral